GCGAAUGGUGGAUGCCUUGACUGGUAAAGGCGAUGAAGGACGUACUAGACUGCGAUAAGCUACGGGGAGCUGUCAAGAAGCUUUGAUCCGUAGAUUUCCGAAUGGGGCAACCCAAUGUAUAGAGAUAUACAUUACCUAUAUAGGAGCGAACGAGGGGAAUUGAAACAUCUUAGUACCCUCAGGAAAAGAAAUCAAUAGAGAUUGCGUCAGUAGCGGCGAGCGAAAGCGCAAGAGGGCAAACCCAGUGCUUGCACUGGGGGUUGUAGGACUGCAAUGUGCAAGAGGUAAGUUUAGCAGAACAUUCUGGAAAGUAUAACCAUAGAGGGUGAUAGUCCCGUAUGCGAAAAACAAACCUUAGCUAGCAGUAUCCUGAGUAGGGCGGGACACGAGGAAUCCUGUCUGAAUCCGGGUCGACCACGAUCCAACCCUAAAUACUAAUACCAGAUCGAUAGUGCACAAGUACCGUGAGGGAAAGGUGAAAAGAACUGAGGUGAUCAGAGUGAAAUAGAACCUGAAACCAUUUGCUUACAAUCAUUCAGAGCCCUAUGUAGCAAUACAGGGUGAUGGACUGCCUUUUGCAUAAUGAGCCUGCGAGUUGUGGUGUCUGGCAAGGUUAAGCAAACGCGAAGCCGUAGCGAAAGCGAGUCUGAAUAGGGCGCUUAGUCAGAUGCUGCAGACCCGAAACGAAGUGAUCUAUCCAUGAGCAAGUUGAAGCUAGUGUAAGAACUAGUGGAGGACUGAACCCAUAGGCGUUGAAAAGCCCCGGGAUGACUUGUGGAUAGGGGUGAAAGGCCAAUCAAACUUCGUGAUAGCUGGUUCUCUCCGAAAUAUAUUUAGGUAUAGCGUUGUGUCGUAAUAUAAGGGGGUAGAGCACUGAAUGGGCUAGGGCAUACACCAAUGUACCAAACCCUAUCAAACUCCGAAUACCUUAUAUGUAAUCACAGCAGUCAGGCGGCGAGUGAUAAAAUCCGUCGUCAAGAGGGAAACAACCCAGACUACCAGCUAAGGUCCCUAAAUCUUACUUAAGUGGAAAACGAUGUGAAGUUACUUAAACAACCAGGAGGUUGGCUUAGAAGCAGCCAUCCUUUAAAGAAAGCGUAAUAGCUCACUGGUCUAGUGAUUUUGCGCGGAAAAUAUAACGGGGCUAAAGUAAGUACCGAAGCUGUAGACUUGCACACAACUUAGAUUAUUUAAGUUUAGAAUAUGAGAAACUAAGUUAUAUGUUUAGUUAUAUUUUUACUGAUUUUUAUAGAGUAAAGAUAGAAAUAAAACUUAGUAAAAUCAGUAAAAAUAUUCUUAGACUAAAGUUAAGUAGUUUAAGUUGUGUGCAAGUGGUAGGAGAGCGUUCUAUUUGCGUCGAAGGUAUACCGGUAAGGAGUGCUGGAGCGAAUAGAAGUGAGCAUGCAGGCAUGAGUAGCGAUAAUUAAUGUGAGAAUCAUUAACGCCGUAAACCCAAGGUUUCCUACGCGAUGCUCGUCAUCGUAGGGUUAGUCGGGUCCUAAGUCGAGUCCGAAAGGGGUAGACGAUGGCAAAUUGGUUAAUAUUCCAAUACCAACAUUAGUGUGCGAUGGAAGGACGCUUAGGGCUAAGGGGGCUAGCGGAUGGAAGUGCUAGUCUAAGGUCGUAGGAGGUUAUACAGGCAAAUCCGUAUAACAAUACUCCGAGAACUGAAAGGCUUUUUGAAGUCUUCGGAUGGAUAGAAGAACCCCUGAUGCCGUCGAGCCAAGAAAAGUUUCUAAGUUUAGCUAAUGUUGCCCGUACCGUAAACCGACACAGGUGGGUGGGAUGAGUAUUCUAAGGCGCGUGGAAGAACUCUCUUUAAGGAACUCUGCAAAAUAGCACCGUAUCU
RNAcentral lists this ribosomal RNA (1849 nucleotides) under Campylobacter jejuni. RNAcentral's name for it is "partial 23S ribosomal RNA". It matches the Rfam family "Bacterial large subunit ribosomal RNA", at positions 17 to 1735 of the family's 2925-position model. The record is from RNAcentral. Lineage: Bacteria; Pseudomonadati; Campylobacterota; Epsilonproteobacteria; Campylobacterales; Campylobacteraceae.